This 441-nucleotide ribosomal RNA is filed under the name uncultured bacterium. RNAcentral's name for it is "partial 16S ribosomal RNA". It matches the Rfam family "Bacterial small subunit ribosomal RNA", at positions 338 to 795 of the family's 1533-position model. The record is from RNAcentral.
CCUACGGGUGGCAGCAGUCGGGAAUAUUGCGCAAUGGAGGAAACUCUGACGCAGCGACGUCGCGUGCAGGAAGAAUGUUUUCUGAUUGUAAACUGUUUUAGACAGGGAAGAAAAAAGACAGUACCUGUAGAAUAAGCUCCGGCUAACUGCGUUCCAGCAGCCUCGCUAAUACGUAGGGACCAAGCUUUUACCGGAUUUAUUGGGUGUAAAGGUUGCGUAAACGGAGAAACAAGUCAGUUGUGAAAGCUCUCGGCUUAACUGGGAAACUGCAACUAAAACUACUUCCCUUGAGUACUGGAGAGGAAAGUGGAAUUCGUAGUGUAGCGGUGAAAUGCGUAGAUAUCAGGAGGAACACCAGUGGCGAAGGCGACUUUCUGGACAGUAACUGACGUUGAGGCACGAAAGUGUGGGGAGCAAACAGGAUUAGAUACCCGUGUAGUC